GGGGGGUGCAAGCGUUAUUCGGAAUCACUGGGCGUAAAGAGCGCGUAGGCGGUUUCUUAAGUCAGAUGUGAAAGCCCGGGGCUUAACCCCGGAAGUGCAUUUGAAACGGAGGGACUUGAGUAUGGGAGAGGGAAGUGGAAUUCCUGGUGUAGCGGUGAAAUGCGUAGAUAUCAGGAGGAACACCGGUGGCGAUGGCGACUUCCUGGACCAAUACUGACGCUGAGGCGCGAAGGCGAGGGGAGCAAACAGGAUUAGAUACCCUGGUAGUCCACGCAGUAAACGUUGAACACUAGGUGUAGCGGGUAUUGACCCCCCUGCUGUGCCGCAGCUAACGCAUUAAGUGUUCCGCCUGGGGGAGUACGGCCGCAAGGCCA
RNAcentral lists this ribosomal RNA (374 nucleotides) under uncultured organism. RNAcentral describes it as "partial 16S ribosomal RNA". It matches the Rfam family "Bacterial small subunit ribosomal RNA", at positions 527 to 896 of the family's 1533-position model. The record is from RNAcentral.